Molecule: ribosomal RNA, 253 nt
Filed under: uncultured bacterium
Lineage: Bacteria
Description: partial 16S ribosomal RNA
Rfam family: Bacterial small subunit ribosomal RNA
Source: RNAcentral
UACAGAGGGUGCGAGCGUUGUCCGGAAUCACUGGGCGUAAAGGGCGAGUAGGCGGCUUUUCAAGCGUGUGGUGAAAGCUCGGGGCUCAACCCCGAGUCGGCCAUGCGAACUGGGAGGCUUGAGCACGGUAGAGGCACAUGGAAUUCCGGGUGUAGCGGUGGAAUGCGUAGAGAUCCGGAGGAACACCGGUGGCGAAGGCGGUGUGCUGGGCCGUAGCUGACGCUGAAUCGCGACAGCGUGGGGAGCAAACAGG